RNAcentral lists this ribosomal RNA (539 nucleotides) under Phialophora verrucosa. RNAcentral's name for it is "eukaryotic LSU rRNA". It matches the Rfam family "Eukaryotic large subunit ribosomal RNA", at positions 95 to 649 of the family's 3401-position model. The record is from RNAcentral. Lineage: Eukaryota; Fungi; Ascomycota; Eurotiomycetes; Chaetothyriales; Herpotrichiellaceae.
GAAGCGGCAACAGCUCAAAUUUGAAAUCUGGCCUCUUGGGGUCCGAAGUUGUAAUUUGUAGAGGAUGUUUUGGGUACCGCCCCGGUUUAAAUUUCUUGGAACAGAAUGUCAGAGAGGGUGAGAAUCCCGUCUUGGACCGGUGGUAGGGCCUGUGUAAAACUCCUUCGACGAGUCGAGUUGUUUGGGAAUGCAGCUCAAAAUGGGUGGUAAAUUUCAUCUAAAGCUAAAUAUUGGCCAGAGACCGAUAGCGCACAAGUAGAGUGAUCGAAAGAUGAAAAGAACUUUGAAAAGAGAGUUAAACAGUAUGUGAAAUUGUUGAAAGGGAAGCGCUUGCAACCAGACUUGAGCGCGACGGUUCCCCUAGCCUUUUGGCUAGGUUACUCCGUCGUGUCCAGGCCAACAUCGGUUCUGAGGGUCGGUCAAAGGCCCCGGGAAUGUACCUACCCACGGGUAGACUUAUAGACCGGGGUGUCAUGCGGCCUCUCGGGACCGAGGAACGCGCUUCGGCUCGGAUGUUGGCGUAAUGGUUGUCAGCGACC